GUCGAACGCGAAAGUCCCGCAAGGGAUCAGUAGAGUGGCAAACGGGUGAGUAACACGUGGGUGACCUGCCUUCGAGUGGGGGAUAACGUCCCGAAAGGGACGCUAAUACCGCAUGACAUCCUGCCUUUGAACAGGCGGAGAUCAAAGCUGGGGAUCGCAAGACCUGGCGCUCAAAGAGGGGCCCGCGCCUGAUUAGCUAGUUGGCGGGGUAAUGGCUCACCAAGGCAACGAUCAGUAUCCGGCCUGAGAGGGCGGACGGACACACUGGGACUGAGACACGGCCCAGACUCCUACGGGAGGCAGCAGUGGGGAAUUGUUCGCAAUGGGCGAAAGCCUGACGACGCAACGCCGCGUGGAGGAUGAAGACCUUCGGGUCGUAAACUCCUUUCGAUCGAGACGAAUGGCCUUCGGGUGAACAACUCGGAGGAAUGACGGUACCGAGAGAAGAAGCCCCGGCUAACUCCGUGCCAGCAGCCGCGGUAAUACGGGGGGGGCAAGCGUUGUUCGGAAUUACUGGGCGUAAAGGGCUCGUAGGCGGCCAACUAAGUCAGACGUGAAAUCCCUCGGCUUAACCGGGGAACUGCGUCUGAUACUGGAUGGCUUGAGUUUGGGAGAGGGAUGCGGAAUUCCAGGUGUAGCGGUGAAAUGCGUAGAUAUCUGGAGGAACACGGGUGGCGAAGGCGGCAUCCUGGACCAACGCUGACGCUGAGUGAGCGAAAGCCAGGGGGGCAAACGGGA
Molecule: ribosomal RNA, 738 nt
Filed under: uncultured bacterium
Lineage: Bacteria
Description: bacterial SSU rRNA
Rfam family: Bacterial small subunit ribosomal RNA
Source: RNAcentral